RNAcentral lists this ribosomal RNA (467 nucleotides) under uncultured bacterium. Its description in RNAcentral is "partial 16S ribosomal RNA". It matches the Rfam family "Bacterial small subunit ribosomal RNA", at positions 28 to 507 of the family's 1533-position model. The record is from RNAcentral.
GACGAACGCUGGCGGCGUGCUUAACACAUGCAAGUCGAACGGAAAGGCCCUGCUUUUGUGGGGUGCUCGAGUGGCGAACGGGUGAGUAACACGUGAGUAACCUGCCCUUGACUUUGGGAUAACUUCAGGAAACUGGGGCUAAUACCGGAUAGGAGCUCCUGCUGCAUGGUGGGGGUUGGAAAGUUUCGGCGGUUGGGGAUGGACUCGCGGCUUAUCAGCUUGUUGGUGGGGUAGUGGCUUACCAAGGCUUUGACGGGUAGCCGGCCUGAGAGGGUGACCGGCCACAUUGGGACUGAGAUACGGCCCAGACUCCUACGGGAGGCAGCAGUGGGGAAUAUUGCACAAUGGGCGGAAGCCUGAUGCAGCAACGCCGCGUGCGGGAUGACGCCUUCGGGUUGUAAACCGCUUUCGCCUGUGACGAAGCGUGAGUGACGGUAAUGGGUAAAGAAGCACCGGCUAACUACGUG